GCGGAUGUAGAAAAAAGGUAACCUCAUUAGUUUUCCAAACUAAAUAUUACGGGUUCGAAUCCCGCCAUCCGCU
Molecule: transfer RNA, 73 nt
Filed under: Schimmelmannia schousboei
Lineage: Eukaryota; Rhodophyta; Florideophyceae; Acrosymphytales; Schimmelmanniaceae
Description: tRNA-Gly
Rfam family: tRNA
About the family: Transfer RNA (tRNA) molecules are approximately 80 nucleotides in length. Their secondary structure includes four short double-helical elements and three loops (D, anti-codon, and T loops).
Source: RNAcentral